Molecule: ribosomal RNA, 253 nt
Filed under: uncultured bacterium
Lineage: Bacteria
Description: partial 16S ribosomal RNA
Rfam family: Bacterial small subunit ribosomal RNA
Source: RNAcentral
UACAGAGGGUGCAAGCGUUGUUCGGAAUCACUGGGCGUAAAGGGUGCGUAGGCGGGUCUUUAAGUCAGGGGUGAAAUCCUGGAGCUCAACUCCAGAACUGCCUUUGAUACUGAGGAUCUUGAGUUCGGGAGAGGUGAGUGGAACUGCGAGUGUAGAGGUGAAAUUCGUAGAUAUUCGCAAGAACACCAGUGGCGAAGGCGGCUCACUGGCCCGAUACUGACGCUGAGGCACGAAAGCGUGGGGAGCAAACAGG